UCGUAUAUGUCAGGAAUCCAUUGAUGAGAAGGGGCUGGGGAAAGCUUGAACCCAAUUCCUACAAUGAUUAAUAUAAGCACAAUUGAAAUUCCUGAGGAGUCAUACAUUUAUGUAUUGAUAAGGCCAAGUCGUGGUAAUACAAAGGAUGCAAGCGUUAUCCGGAAUGAUUGGGCAUAAAGUGUCUAUAGGUGGCUUUUUAAGUCCGCCGUCAAAUCCCAGGGCUCAACUAUGGACAGGCGGUGGAAACUGCCAAGCUGGAGUACAGUAGGGGCAGAGGGAAUUUCCAGUGGAGCAGUGAAAUGCGUAGAGAUCGGAAAGAACACCAAUGGUGAAAGCACUCUGCUGGGCUGAUACUAACACUAAGAGAUGAAAGCUAGGGGAGCGAAUGGGAUUAGAUACCCAAUAAUCCUAGCAGUAAACGAUGGAUACUGGGCGCUGUGCGUAUCGACCUGUGCAGUGCUAUAGCUAACGUGUUAAGUAUCCCACCUAGGGAGUACGUUCGCAAGAAUGAAACUCAAAGGAAUUGAUGGGGGCCCACACAAGUGGUGGAGCAUAUGAUUUGAUUCGAUGCAAAGCGAAGAACCUUACAAGGGCUUGACAUGUCGUGAAUCAUCUUGAAAGAGAGGGAUGCCAUCGGGAACAUGGACACAGGUGGUGCAUGGCUGUCGUCAGCUCGUGCCAUAAGGUGUUGGGUUAAGUCCCGCAACGAGUGCAACCCUCGUGUUUAGUUGUCACUGUUGAGUUUGGAACCCUGAGCAGAUUGUCGGCGAUAAGCCGAAGGAAGGUGAGGAUGACGUCAAGUCAUCAUGCCCUUUAUGCCCUGGGCGACACAUGUGCUACAAUGGCCGGGACAAAGGGUCGCGAUCCCGCAAGGGUGAGCUAACUCCAAAAACCCGUCCUCAGUUUAGAUUGCAGGCUGCAACUCGCCUGUAUGAAGCCGGAAUCACUAGUAUGCUCGGGGAUGGAAAUGAGGGAAUGUCUAUAAUACCUGCAUUGAAUCAGAUACAAU
This 1009-nucleotide non-coding RNA is filed under the name Ricinus communis (castor bean). Its description in RNAcentral is "Bacterial small subunit ribosomal RNA". It matches the Rfam family "Bacterial small subunit ribosomal RNA", at positions 444 to 1367 of the family's 1533-position model. Lineage: Eukaryota; Viridiplantae; Streptophyta; Magnoliopsida; Malpighiales; Euphorbiaceae. The record is from Rfam by way of RNAcentral.